Pangasianodon hypophthalmus (striped catfish) is the source of this 2168-nucleotide long non-coding RNA. RefSeq lists it as uncharacterized. The record is from RefSeq and is a predicted model, not a curated record. NCBI's taxonomy places the organism in Eukaryota, Metazoa, Chordata, Actinopteri, Siluriformes, Pangasiidae. The transcript is spliced from 3 exons.
GGUAGUCUGUACGUUUGAUCUGAUUGCAUGUAUGAAAUGUUAGCCAAUCCUACCACACGCAGGCGGGGGGGGGGUCAUAGGAAUACGGGUAGGACAAUGACUAUAACGACUCCGGCCGCAGUAGCCUUCGAAACACGGAAGUUUGAAAGUUAUCUGUUUGAGGAACACGGAAGUAGCCAUAUGUAGGGUAGAAUCUAUGGGUGAAAAAAGAAAAAAGGUGCCGAGAAUGUAUAUUUUUAGUGUGGAACGACUGCACGCGCUCAUUUCGGUGUUUGGUAGCUAUCAUGGACGCGUUUCAUCCAUUCAUGAAUUCAUCACUGUGUAAAGAUUAGUGAUGGUGACAAAUGAUGAUCAAUAUUUGGCAGAAUAUAUUGUUUUUCUUUAGUGUCAGUGAUCUUUGGUGACCCUAGCGUGAACCAUGGCCACCCCUCAGGCAACCCUACAAUAUGAGGUGCCUGAUCAAAAAGCUGAAGACCUGAUGAAGGGGCCUGCUGUUCCAAAAAGAGAAAUCACUUCAGUGUACAGUCUUCUGAUGACCUGCCAGGAGACCUGCAUUGUGUCACAUCCCCAUCUCCUGCGCUCUCAUUCCCUCCCUACCUCUCAGGAAGCAGAACAAUUUGAAUUACUGUCUGACUUUGUUCGUGAACAUAUACUGUACAUUUUGUAAGGAACAAACAUCAUGAAACAAUCAGGUUUCAUUCAUCACUGAAAAGUCUGAUAGCAGAGGGAAUGGGUUUGGAUAUAAACUUGUGUUGCUGCCAUAUACUUUUAAAGAGAAUCCUAUCAGAGCACAAACUAACUUAUUCCAAGCUGAAGUCAAAAUAAUAGCUAAUUUGGGCAGUCUGUCUAUGUGGAAUGACUUCGAAUUUACAGUAGAAUGUUACAUGUGCAAUACGUACUGAAAGUCGGUACACUAUCUCUUUUAAAAACUGCUCAGCAGUGCUUGAACUACAGCUGACCUGGCCACAGCUCCAUCCGGCACACAGGGGGAGAGGAGAGAUGGAGUGACCUUUGACCUUUAAAAGAAGAGGGCAGCACAUUCGUAUCUCAUCUCCUCUCAGACAGCCUUGUUUGAUCUGGACUCACCUCAGUUCACACAUCUUAGCUUCUGGCACCAACCUACAGGGGAGGAAUGUGUGGGGUUUUGUGUGUGUGUGUGUGUGUGUGUAGUAUUCCAGGAAUAUUGUUAUAAACAACAUUGAUGUUUUGAUUAUAUAAAAUAUUUUCCUGCUUGUUUUGCUGAGUUGUGGAAAAGGAAAUAUUUAUAUUGUUUUUCUGAACAUGUGACUGAGUGGUAUACAAAUUUGUUAUGUGUGCAGUAUUACACCAGGUAGAUUUCUCGUGGGCGUCACAGGAUUUUAUAUCUUGCCUGGCACUACACGGUGUGAGAAGGUAGUUACACUGUGACUUUUAUGCUAUGCUGGUACAGAUAUUAUUUCCCCAUACAGUAGAUCCCUGAAAAUAUGUUAUAUUUUAAACUGAUCAUUUAAAAAAAUAGUGUUCUUUUUGAAGGACAAAAAUCAUAUGAAAUUGUAUUACUACUAGAAUAGGAAUAUAUGAUGGCAUGUAGUAUUGCAGCAUAUAUACAGCAAUGUGUCACCCCUUGGAAAUAAUAUCUGUACAACUACAGCAAAAAGCAUAUAGAUGGAUAGAUAGAUAGAUAGAUAGAUAGACCUACAGAUAGGCCAUUUUGCUACUGUGUUCCACUUGUCCCCUUUGAGAGAAGGGCCACUGCAAAUCAACACAAAAUUAUUCUGACUGAUCAACUUUAUCCUUCGAUGAAACAUUUCUAUCCUGAUGGGAGUGGUCUCUUCCGGGAUGACAAUGUCCUCAUCCACACAAGGCACAAAGGCUCAAGAAUGGUUGGUUGAGUAUGAAAAUGAUGUAAAUCAUAUACUAAGGCCUUCACAGUAACCAGAUUUUAACCCAGUUGAACACCUGUGGGAGAUUAUGGACUGACGUGUUAGACAGCGAUGGACUGACGUGUUAGACAGUGCUCUCCAUCAUCAAAACACCAGUUGAGUGAAUAGUAUAGAAUGCAAAGGCACAAUGAAGCUGCCAGCUGCUUUUUCCUGAAAAUUAUGUGUGUGUGUGUGUAAUUCCAGAUUUGGGUAUAGAAAAACAUGGGUAAUUAACUUAAUCUUGUGGGUAGCUUUGUUUUUCUUACU